Molecule: transfer RNA, 81 nt
Filed under: Bos taurus (domestic cattle)
Lineage: Eukaryota; Metazoa; Chordata; Mammalia; Artiodactyla; Bovidae
Also listed under: 4 other names
Rfam family: tRNA
About the family: Transfer RNA (tRNA) molecules are approximately 80 nucleotides in length. Their secondary structure includes four short double-helical elements and three loops (D, anti-codon, and T loops). Further hydrogen bonds mediate the characteristic L-shaped molecular structure. tRNAs have two regions of fundamental functional importance: the anti-codon, which is responsible for specific mRNA codon recognition, and the 3' end, to which the tRNAs corresponding amino acid is attached (by aminoacyl-tRNA synthetases). tRNAs cope with the degeneracy of the genetic code in two manners: having more than one tRNA (with a specific anti-codon) for a particular amino acid; and 'wobble' base-pairing, i.e. permitting non-standard base-pairing at the 3rd anti-codon position.
Source: Rfam by way of RNAcentral
UCCCAGAUGUCUUAAUGGGUAAAGAAUCUGCCUACAAAGCAGGAGAUGUAAGAGACAUGGGUUCAAUCCCUGAGUGGGGAA